This 63-nucleotide transfer RNA is filed under the name Anelytra multicurvata. Its description in RNAcentral is "tRNA-Arg". Lineage: Eukaryota; Metazoa; Arthropoda; Insecta; Orthoptera; Tettigoniidae. The record is from RNAcentral.
AAAUAAGAAGCAAUAAUUGCACUCAGUUUCGACCUGAGCCUUUGAUGAAUACAUCCUUAUUUG